GGGCAACAAGAGCAAAACUCCGUUUCAAAAAAUAUAUAUAUUAUUUACUCUUUUUAAAUAAAAUUUUAAUAAAUUCCUUACUAGCUUUUCCCCAGAGGUAGCAUAAUAAGCACUGUAAAUGGGGCCCCUAACUGCAAAAGAGAGAAGAUAGACUUCAGUGGAAUACCUAAAUGCAAACUCAAGAAGCUUGCAGAGCUGGUACUGAGACUGGAAGGCAGAGCAGUGGCCGUGUGUUGAGAGGUGGGAGCAGGUGGAACUCAGAGCUCAGAUUCCCAGAGUGGACGCUGAGGUCCCCAUUUACGGGUGGAAGGCUUGGACCCACCUUGGAUGGAGCCUUAGCACGGAUGAGGACCGCAGCCAUUGAAAGCAUCAACUUGUUUGACUGUGUAUCAAGACUAUUCUUAUGCUGUACUUGUUUCUCUUGGGCAUGCCAUUAGUGUGGUAUUCAUAAGCAGAAAUGUAAAAAAGAAAUGACAAGAAGUAUGUAUAGUAAAUCCACCUACUUUCAGAUUUAGUUCAAAGAUUAUGACCUAAGCAGAGGUCUGGUUCGUUUAGGCUUUGUGAACAUUUGUCCAAAUUAUAGUAGGUUUACUAGCUAAAAUCCCUGGGUGAGUCUGAUGAAAAGUAUUUCUUUUUUUCCAUUGCUGUUUUUGUAACAUCCACAUCAAUCUAAAUUGCUGUUUAGAUAAGGUAACUCUACUUUACUGGCCAAGAGUGAGGAAUAAAAUCUGUUAAGUGGAUGCAACACAUUUCCUUUCUGCCUGUUCAUUCAACAGGCCCUAUAGUGAAAUGGCAAAGAGCCUUUAUUCAAAUGGUGGGUGCCAUGCUGUGGUAAUACAGAUGGAUUUUUCACAACAUGCAGAAGUGCUUAUAAAUAGAUACGUUUCAAUCAACAAGUAGCUUAUUCAGGCAUGUGCUCAAAUAUAGUAGCUGCAUUCAUUAGACAGACAUUUCCACUAAUCCCAAGACUAUACUAAUAAAAGAGUAAUCCCUUAUGGGCUAAAGGUGGUGCUGGUUUGCUUUUAACUCUUAGAGUCCUUCACACACCAAGGCCUAAUAAUAAUUGUAGCUGUAUUUGGUUUUCACCAAGUGAACUUAACCCAUUUAUGCCGGAGGUUGCAAUUUUUAAAAUGUUUGUAAUCAGAGCUUGGUGAUGAUCUUGAGCAGUAGAAUAUAAAUAACUCUCACACGCUUAGCGUUCCGAUAAUGGAACACUAAGCAUGAAUGGGUUAAAAGCUGAGCUUAUCUUGGAAUUUUUCUAUUCUUAUUUUUUAAAUUGCAGGAGCUUAGUGAAGAAAGAGGUGCUUUUUACUCUAGAUAUGUAGCUUGCAGCAAAGCCAAUUCAAAAAUCAAUUUGUGUGUGUGUGUGUGUCUGUGUAUGUUUUCUCAAUACUUUAUCAUAAAGCAUUUCUCUCUUUCACCUUGGUUAACAGAAGUGUUCGCUUGAGCACAUUGUUUUGUUCUUUGAUGUUAGGAUAAAUAACAAGUUAAUGAUCAAUUUUGAGAGCAUUUGCAAGCUCUCACUAUAGUGGUUUGCCUUUUUACAUGGACUUUUUCCCCUUCAAUAGCUCUUUACUUCUCCUGUGUUACUCAGAGCUAGCUGUAAUCCGUUUGCUUAGCACAAUACCAAAAUUUUUCCCUUGCCAGUGAUGUCAAAUCUGCCUUCCUUUUUAUUAUUCUGACUUAUAAACUGCAGUGACCUCUGAGUCAACUUCACCAUCUCCUGGCCCUGUGCCAACAUUGUGAUCUGUGAAAAGAGAGUCCUGCCAAGGGCUACGAGGCAGAAAACUGAUAUUAUUAAAGUGGUCUUCUGAACGGUAAGUAUCAGCCAUUUUCUAAUCUUUUGUGAUGUUAUUGCCAGCAAGGGAGAGGGGGAGGUAAAUCAUGUUAACAUGUUAAGGAUCUAACCCAUGCAUUGCUAACCUUUUCCAGAUUGGGGGCUCAGAUGCACAUCAGUGUCUAUAGGCACACAGAAAUUAUUGCACAGCGCUAUUCACAGACAGACGUGCUUCUUGAAGACUCUAUUACUGUGAGUCUCGAAGAAGUUUCUUAAUUUCUGAGCCUCAGUUCCCUUUUCUGUAGCCUGUUAGUGAUACAUAUUGUACAGGGGUGCUAUAUACAAGACAAAUUGAGAAGAUGCAUAUAAAGUGUUUUAAAAAUAAAUGAUAUAGAAACAUGAUGCAAGCAAGAGUGUCUUAAAAACUGUUUGAUUAUUAACACUGACAACCUUUUCUGUGCCCCACUCAGGAGCCUGACGACAUUCAGUGCUGCUGGGCCGCAAUACCAAAAUGUUUAUUAGCAUUUUCAUUCUGUAGCAACCUUUUCCCCAUUUCUGGGCGGCAAGUGGUGAUAAGGGAAGGGAUAAAGAAGAGAACAUGAUGGAUUUUUAUGAAGUAAAUGAGAAAGAACCAAGUUCCCAUCAUUAGGAUUUCUCAGCAACUCUUUCUGCAAGGUCCUAAGGGUUCUAAGAUGAAUACGGCCCACUCCCUCCCUUCCAGGACUUUAGCUGAGGUUGGUUGGAGCUGAAGUCGGGCAAGACUCAUAGGAACGGAUUAAGGGAGAGAGAAUCCAGAGGCAACGUGAAUUCCAAGUAUAGAUCUGGACUCAGAAGAGAUUUAAGUUUCAAACCUGGCUUUAUCAGUUAGUGCUUGUGGGAUCUCAACCAAGUCACCGACUUCUCUGAACAUGCUUCCAUAUUUCUACAAAGGAAACAAUAAGUGACUCUGCUGAGUUGAGCACUUGCAAGUACCAAGCAGUGAGGACCUGAGGCAUGGAUGCUAAUCAGCUUGCUGGAGAUCACAGUCAUGAGUGGCAGAGUGGGUCUCGAAACCAGGCAGCCUGGCUCUGGAGCCCACACUCCAUCCACACACCAUGCUGGGACCCCGUGGAGUGACCAGCAGACUGGUUGUGUGGGUUAGGUGGAACGGUGCA
This is a non-coding RNA of Macaca mulatta (Rhesus monkey), 2931 nucleotides long. The record is from RefSeq and is a predicted model, not a curated record. NCBI's taxonomy places the organism in Eukaryota, Metazoa, Chordata, Mammalia, Primates, Cercopithecidae.